CAGAUGACAAUCCUGAAUCCCUGGUCACUCCAGUGCUGCCACUCCAGCCUGGGUCAGCCUUCUGCUGGAUUUCAGUACCUUCUGCAGUAGUCUCCAGAGGCCAAUACACGGUGUACAGGAUCCUGACAACCCAGAAAAAAAUCGGACGCAGCCCAGAGGCUCAGCGUGGCAGUGAGCAGAGAGAAGACCCCUGCCCAGGACCACUGCUCAGUUCCAGGUGGUUGGGCAAGACUCAGGGACAGAGGACAGAAUGGAGAGGACAGUCACCGCGCAGCCUCUAAGAACAGAGCCAGAUGCCUCAUUG
This 304-nucleotide long non-coding RNA is filed under the name Cavia porcellus (domestic guinea pig). Its description in RNAcentral is "lncRNA (ENSCPOG00000032363.1)". The record is from RNAcentral. Lineage: Eukaryota; Metazoa; Chordata; Mammalia; Rodentia; Caviidae.